AGAGUUUGAUCCUGGCUCAGGAUGAACGCUAGCUACAGGCUUAACACAUGCAAGUCGAGGGGAAACGACAUCGAAAGCUUGCUUUUGAUGGGCGUCGACCGGCGCACGGGUGAGUAACGCGUAUCCAACCUGCCCACCACUUGGGGAUAACCUUGCGAAAGUAAGACUAAUACCCAAUGACGUCUCUAGAAGACAUCUGAAAGGGAUUAAAGAUUUAUCGGUGAUGGAUGGGGAUGCGUCUGAUUAGCUUGUUGGCGGGGUAACGGCCCACCAAGGCUACGAUCAGUAGGGGUUCUGAGAGGAAGGUCCCCCACAUUGGGAACUGAGACACGGGCCCAAAACUCCUACGGGGAGGAC
Molecule: ribosomal RNA, 357 nt
Filed under: uncultured bacterium
Lineage: Bacteria
Description: bacterial SSU rRNA
Rfam family: Bacterial small subunit ribosomal RNA
Source: RNAcentral